AGAGUUUGAUCCUGGCUCAGAUCGAACGCUGGCGGCAGGCCUAACACAUGCAAGUCGAACGGUAACAGGAAGCAGCUUGCUGCUUUGCUGACGAGUGGCGGACGGGUGAGUAAUGUCUGGGAAACUGCCCGAUGGAGGGGGAUAACUACUGGAAACGGUAGCUAAUACCGCAUAACGUCGCAAGACCAAAGAGGGGGACCUUCGGGCCUCUUGCCAUCGGAUGUGCCCAGAUGGGAUUAGCUAGUUGGUGUGGUAACGGCUCACCAAGGCGACGAUCCCUAGCUGGUCUGAGAGGAUGACCAGCCACACUGGAACUGAGACACGGUCCAGACUCCUACGGGAGGCAGCAGUGGGGAAUAUUGCACAAUGGGCGCAAGCCUGAUGCAGCCAUGCCGCGUGUAUGAAGAAGGCCUUCGGGUUGUAAAGUACUUUCAGCGGGGAGGAAGGGGAUGU
Molecule: ribosomal RNA, 453 nt
Filed under: uncultured bacterium
Lineage: Bacteria
Description: bacterial SSU rRNA
Rfam family: Bacterial small subunit ribosomal RNA
Source: RNAcentral